Molecule: small RNA, 288 nt
Filed under: uncultured Erwinia sp.
Lineage: Bacteria; Pseudomonadati; Pseudomonadota; Gammaproteobacteria; Enterobacterales; Erwiniaceae
Description: Soft rot Enterobacteriaceae Rev 39 5'UTR
Rfam family: Soft rot Enterobacteriaceae Rev 39 5'UTR
About the family: From bacteria cultured under starvation conditions.
Source: RNAcentral
UGUCUGUAUCAUAAUAACUGUGUUACCUCUGUAGGCAUUAAAUCGAAAGAGUGAAAGAAACGAUUACUUAUGAAAGCCCUUCUUAACGUCCUCAGCCUUGUCCUAUUUAACGUCGUCGUGAUUAUUAUCACGCCGCGCGGGGCUGCGCCUGGAGAAAGAAAGGCUUAGAAAUCAAGUCUGAAUUCGAAAGAACCCCCGCACCGAAAGGUCCGGGGGUUUUUUUUUACCAUGUAUCAGUGACAGAGGAACGAAAAAUGGCCAGCAGAAUAAAAUGCUGUUGUUCUCUGA